UACGUAGGUGGCGAGCGUUGUCCGGAAUUAUUGGGCGUAAAGGGUGCGUAGGCGGCUCUUUAAGUGGGAUGUGAAAUCCCUGGGCUCAACCCAGGAACUGCAUUCCAAACUGGAGAGCUAGAGUGCAGGAGAGGAAAGCGGAAUUCCCAGUGUAGCGGUGAAAUGCGUAGAGAUUGGGAGGAACACCAGUGGCGAAGGCGGCUUUCUGGACUGUAACUGACGCUGAGGAACGAAAGCGUGGGGAGCAAACAGG
RNAcentral lists this ribosomal RNA (253 nucleotides) under uncultured bacterium. RNAcentral's name for it is "partial 16S ribosomal RNA". It matches the Rfam family "Bacterial small subunit ribosomal RNA", at positions 524 to 776 of the family's 1533-position model. The record is from RNAcentral.